UGGGGAAUUUUGGACAAUGGGCGCAAGCCUGAUCCAGCCAUGCCGCGUGAGUGAAGAAGGCCUCGGGUUGUAAAGCUCUUUCGGCCGGGAAGAAAUCGUGUUCUCUAACAUAGGACAUGGAUGACGGUACCGGACUAAGAAGCACCGGCUAACUACGUGCC
RNAcentral lists this ribosomal RNA (161 nucleotides) under uncultured bacterium. RNAcentral describes it as "partial 16S ribosomal RNA". It matches the Rfam family "Bacterial small subunit ribosomal RNA", at positions 355 to 509 of the family's 1533-position model. The record is from RNAcentral.